Cebus imitator (Panamanian white-faced capuchin) is the source of this 804-nucleotide long non-coding RNA. RefSeq lists it as uncharacterized. The transcript has 3 exons. The record is from RefSeq and is a predicted model, not a curated record. Lineage: Eukaryota; Metazoa; Chordata; Mammalia; Primates; Cebidae.
GCCAGCUGUGUGCUGGGUUCCGUACAGCAUGUUAGGGACACAGAAAUGACAAAGCCACGGGUUCUGCCGGGCCUGGUGCAGCAGGGGAGAUAGACAGUGUCCCCAAACAAAGAUUACAGAAUAUUCCUGCAUGGAGGUGGUGCCCAAGAGGGCCUGGUGAGCUCUACUUGGUAAGUCAGAGAAGGCUUCCUGGAGGAGGAGUUUACUCUCCUCUGAAGUCACAUCCUGGAAGAUGAGCUGAAGGGCAUGAGAUGGAUGCGUGGACUGGGAUUCCAGGCACUCAGCACAUGAGAAGGCUGGAGAUGGUCAUGUGUGGCGCUCCAAGGUCUCGUUUUCUGAACAAGUAGAACAUACAGGAAAUUCUGGCUUAUCAACAAAGUGAAUUCAGGAAAGCCCAUAGAAAAACGGGUAAAGGGUAUGAAAAGGUAAUUCAUGCAAGAGGAAACCCAAAUGAUUAAUAAAUCGAUGAAGAUAUGUUCAAACCCACUGUUAGCCAGAAAUGCAAAAUAAAAGAACAAGAUAUGGCAUCAGCUUGGCAACAACUGGGAUGUUAAUAACAUCAAGUGACAAAGCCGAAAAGAGAACCCUCAUCUACUGCUGGUGGGAACGUGGACUGGCAGAGUCAUUCUGGAAAACAGUCUGGCAGCCCGCAGUGGAAUUAGCUUCUAGAUUUGAGGGACUUUACUCCCCAGGAGAGUGAAGUGAGCUGGGCUGGAACUGAGAGUCUGGUGGCCGAGCCCACAGGAAGCUGGGGUCUGUGGCUCAGAUGCAGGAUUGGGCAAGAGCAGAGAACUGGUUCCUGGG